UACGGGGGGGGCGAGCGUUGUUCGGAAUUACUGGGCGUAAAGGGUUUGUAGGUGGUCUGCUAAGUCAGACGUGAAAUCCCUCAGCUUAACUGGGGAACUGCGUCUGAUACUGGCGGACUUGAGGACAGGAGAGGAACGUGGAAUUCCAGGUGUAGCGGUGAAAUGCGUAGAUAUCUGGAGGAACACCGGUGGCGAAGGCGGCGUUCUGGACUGUUUCUGACACUGAAAAACGAAAGCCAGGGGAGCAAACGGG
This 253-nucleotide ribosomal RNA is filed under the name uncultured bacterium. RNAcentral describes it as "partial 16S ribosomal RNA". It matches the Rfam family "Bacterial small subunit ribosomal RNA", at positions 524 to 776 of the family's 1533-position model. The record is from RNAcentral.